UGAGCAAUCUGCCCUUCUCAUCGGAAUAAGCGUUGGAAACGACGUCUAAUGCCGAAUACGACCUCCUUUCGCAUGAUCGGAGGUGGAAAGCUCCGGCGGAGAAGGAUGAGCUCGCGGCCUAUCAGCUAGUUGGUGUGGGUAAUGGCCCACCAAGGCGACGACGGGUAGCCGGCCUGAGAGGGUGACCGGCCACACUGGGACUGAGACACGGCCCAGACUCCUACGGGUGCAG
RNAcentral lists this ribosomal RNA (232 nucleotides) under uncultured bacterium. RNAcentral describes it as "partial 16S ribosomal RNA". It matches the Rfam family "Bacterial small subunit ribosomal RNA", at positions 118 to 347 of the family's 1533-position model. The record is from RNAcentral.